This 2776-nucleotide ribosomal RNA is filed under the name Ziziphus jujuba (common jujube). RNAcentral's name for it is "bacterial LSU rRNA". It matches the Rfam family "Bacterial large subunit ribosomal RNA". The record is from RNAcentral. Lineage: Eukaryota; Viridiplantae; Streptophyta; Magnoliopsida; Rosales; Rhamnaceae.
UAGUAGCACGUUAGGUGAUGGCAUAGCCUUAAAGCUAAGGGCAAGGUUCAAACGAAGAAAGGCUUACGGUGGAUACCUAGGCUCCCAGAGACGAGAAAGGGUCAACUUUUUGAACUGCUACUGAAUCCAUGGGUAGACAAGCGAUAACCUGGUGAACUGAAACAUCUUAGCAACCAGAGGAAAAGAAAACAAAAGCAAUUCUUGUAGUAGCGACGAGAAAAAUGGGAGUAGCCUAAACUAUGAAAAUGGGGUUGUGGGAGAGCAAUACAAGCAUUGUGCUACUAGGCAAAGCGGUGGAGUACUGCACCCUAGAUGGAGAGAGUCCAGUAGCCGAAAGUAUUACUAGCUUACACUCUGACCCGAGUAGCAUGGUACACGUGGAAUCCCAUGUGAAUUAACAAGGACCACCUUGUAAGGCUAAAUACUCCUAGGUGACUGAUAGUAAAGUAGUACCAUGAGGGAAGGGUGAAAAGAACACCCAUCGAGGAGUGAAAUAGAACAUGAAACUGUAAGCUCCCAAGCAGUAGGAGGAAACCAGGGCUCUAACCGUGUGCCUGUUGAAGAAUGAGUCGGCAACUUAGAGGCAGUGGCUUGGUUAAGGGAACCCACCAGAGCCUUAGUGAAAGUGAAUGUUCAUAGGGUAAUUGUCACUGCUUGUGGACCCAAACCUGGGUGAUCUAUCCAUGACCAAGAUGAAGCUUGGGUGAAACUAAGUGGAGGUCCGAACCCACUGAUGUAGAAGAAUCAACUGAUGAGUUGUGGUUAGGGGUGAAAUGCCACUCGAACCCAAAGCUAGCUGGUUCUCCCCGAAAUACGUUGAGGUGCAAUAGUUGACUGGACAUCUAGGGGUAAAGCACUGUUUCGAUGCGAGCUGCGAGAGCGGUACCAAAUUGAGGCAAACUCUGAAUACUAGAUAUGACCUCAAAAUAACAGGGGUCAAGGUCGGCCAAUGAGACUAUGGGGGAUAAGCUUCAUCGUCGAGAGUGAAACAGCCCGAAUCACCAGCUAAGGCCCCUAAAUGACCUCUCAGUGAUAAAGGAGGUAAGGGUGUAGAGAUAGCCAAGAGGUUUGCCUAGAAGUAGCCACCCUUGAAAGAGUGCGUAAUAGUUCACUAAUCGAGCGCUCUUGCACCAAAGAUGAAUGGGGCUAAGUGAUCUAUUGAGGCUGUGGGAUGUAAAAAUGCAUUUGGAGGGGAGCGUUCCACCCAGAGGUAAGCACCAGCGCGAGCAGUGGUAGAUGAAGUAGAAGCAAGAAUGUUAGCUUGAGUAACGCAAACAUUGGUGAGAAUCCAAUGCCCCGAAAACCUAACGGUUCCUCCACAAGGUUCAUCCACAGAGGGUGAGUCAGGGCCUACGACCAGGCCGAAAGGUUAGUCAAUGGAAAACAGGUGAAUAUUUCUAUACUACCCCUUGUUGGUCCCCAAGGAUGGAGGAGGCUAGGUUAGCUGAAAGAUGGUUAUUGGUUUAAGAAUGCAAGGUGCCCCUGCUUUUUCAAGGUAAGAAGGGGUAAAGAAAAUGCCCCGAGCCAAUGUUUGAGUUUCAGGCGCUAUAGCACUGAAAUAACCCAUGCCAUACUCCCAGGAAAAGCUCGAACGCCCUUCAAUGAAAGGGUACCUGUAAUUGAAACCAACACAAGUGGGUAGGUAGAGAAUACCUAAGAGCACGAGACAACUCUCUCUAAGGAACUAGGCAAAAUAGCCCCGUUGCUUCGGGAGAAGGGGUGCCUCCUCACAAAGGGGGUCACAGUGAUCAGGCCCAAGCAACUACUUACCAAAAACAUAGGUCUCUACAAAGUCAUAAGACCAUGUAUGGGGGCUGAUGCCUGCUCAAUGUCGGAAGGUCAAGGAAGUUGGUGACCUGAUGAUAGGGGAGCCUGGGAUUGGUUUAGGCCUUUCCUGUGCAGCUUAGGUGGAGGGCGAGGAAGUCCUCCUUCCGAGGAGCCCAAGCCAUCAGUGAGAUACCACUCUGGAAGAGCUAGAAUUCUAACCUUGUGUCAAGACCUAUGGGGCAAGGGACAGUCUCGGGUAGACAGUUUCUAUGGGUAGUAAUGGAGGCAUGCAAAGGUUUCCUCGGGCCAGACGGAGAUUGGCCCUUACAUGCAAAGGCAGAAGGGAGCUUAACUGUAAGACCCACUGGUCAAGCAAAGAUGAAAGUUGGUCUUAGUGAUCCGACAGUGCUGAGUGGAAGGGCCGUCGCUCAACGGAUAAAAGUUACUCUAAGGACAACAGGCUGAUCAUCCCUAAGAGCUCACAAUGACGGGAAAGUUUGGUGCUUUGGCACCUCGAUGUCAGCUCUUCGUCACCUGCGGCUGUAGUAUGUUCCAAGGGUUGGGAUGUUCGCCCAUUAAAGCAGUACGUGAGCUGGGUUCAAAAUGUCGUGAGACAGUUCAGUCCAUAUCUAAUAUGGGCAUUAGAGCAUUGAGAGGACCUUUCCUUAGUACGAGAGGAUCGGGAGGGACGCACCUCUGGUGUACUAGUUAUCAUGCCCAUGGAAAAUGCUGGGUAGCCAAGUGCGGACCGAAUAACUGUUAAAAGCAUCUAAGUAGUAAGCCUACCCAAGUUGAGUGCUUUCCUAUUCUGACUUCCCCAGAGCUUUUGGUAGCACAGCCAACGCAGCGAUGAAUUUUUUGCCCCUACGGGGGUGGAGCGAUAGAAAUUUUGAGAAUUCAAGAGAAGGUCAUGGCGAGACAAGCCGUCGUUUAUUAUUACGAUAAGUGUCAAGUGGAAGUGUAGUGAUGUAUGCAGCCGAGGCAUCCUAACAGACCAAUAGACUUGAAC